Long non-coding RNA from Raphanus sativus (radish), 1012 nucleotides. RefSeq lists it as uncharacterized. NCBI's taxonomy places the organism in Eukaryota, Viridiplantae, Streptophyta, Magnoliopsida, Brassicales, Brassicaceae. The transcript has 4 exons. The record is from RefSeq and is a predicted model, not a curated record.
CAUUACGUUAUUUAGUCAUUCGUGAUUGAAAAUUGAAGUUUACGGCGAUUCGAUGUCUCUUUGCUUGGCCGAUCUUCCGUCUUCCUCCCAUCAAUCAUCUUUUACUUCACCCCCAUUAAUCAAGUGUAGAUUCAAUGCGAUAUUUUGUUUCGCGAGACGGUAUAGUCGAGUAUAAAAGUAUGUUUCAUCUUUCCAGAAACCCUUUUCAUUCGUUCUCAACUGUUUUCAGUCGUUCCCAAUUGUUAGUCCAAUUGAUAAUCGUAUUCCUCUCCGUAAUUACUGUCACAUCGCCGAUCAUCUUCUCCGUCAGGCCAGGCUGGCCAGUAUCUAUCGUGAAGAGAAGAAUGUUGUAGACUUUAAAUCAUGCUUCUUGGAUACUCCAGGCAUCGCUUCCACAAGAUUUUUCCUCACUACUGUGAUACUCAUCGAAAAAUAAGGUGAAAACUAAUCUGAAACCUAACGAUCCCCGUUACUUAUUCCCCGCCGAAGUAACGCUAGUUAAGCGCUAUCAGAAUGGGAAGUUCUCAGCUCCAUUUGUCUGAAUUGAAGGUCGGAGGCUCGGAAUGUCGAAAAAAGGUGGACAGUUAAUGGGAGUCGAUAUGCUGCUGCUAGAUGUUAAGGUAGUUUGAUACCACAAUUUGAUAUAUAUCUUUACUAAUAUCCUAACCAUGGAUGUUUUUCCCCUUUAACAUCUUUCUGAUUGUAGUCUAUAUUAUUUAGUUAUCGACCAUAGAAGAAAUGUUAGUAGAAAAAAAUACAAUUACAUUGUUAGUUUUCUCAUAUAUAUUUACCUAAUCUACAAUUACAUUGUUAGUUUCUUCACGAGUUUAUUUAAAUUCAUUUAACUCUAGAAAAUUACAAUAAAAAAUCAUAACUAAUUAUCAAGAACACAUUGUUUAUUUAGUCUUAAAAUUAAAAAAAUAUGAAACUAAACUAAUAUUUAUAUUUUUAAAUAAUAAAAUUUAUAUUAUACAUUAAUUCUAACAAUUUACAUAAUUUUCAAAUUUAAAUC